Equus caballus (horse) is the source of this 1635-nucleotide non-coding RNA. The record is from RefSeq and is a predicted model, not a curated record. Lineage: Eukaryota; Metazoa; Chordata; Mammalia; Perissodactyla; Equidae.
UAUGAUUUCACUUAUAUUUGGAAUCUAAAAAGACAAAAUGAAGAAACAAAACAGAACUAGACUCACAGAUACAGGAAAUACAUUGGUGGUUACCAGAGGGGGGAGGGCAUAGGUGGAAUAGGUAAAGGGGAUUCAGAGGUACAGACUCCCAGUUCUAAAAUAAAUAAGGCUUGGGGAUAUAAUGUACAGCAUAGGGAAUAUAGUCAAUAAUAUUGUAAUUACUUUGUAUGGUGCCGGGUGGUAACUGGACCUGUCAUGGUGACCAUUUUGUAAUGUAUAUAAAUACUGAAUCUCUGUGAUGUACAGCUGAAACUAAUAGGAUAUUGUGUGUCAAUUAUACUUCAAUAAAAACAAUCCUCACUUCCCCACCUCUCUACACUAAUCAGUCAUUCAACAACUAUUUAUUAAGGGACUACUGUGGGUCGGGGAGUCCGCUAGGCUCAUCGCCGCCUUCACAGAGCCUGCACCCUGAACCUCCAAGCCACACCCUUUGCUAUGACCCACAGACUGGAUGUCCCCUGGAGAUGACAUAUUUCAGCCUCACCUUGACAACAUUGCUGGUGUUAUUUCCAGCCUCCAGCUCCCAUCCUGGAAGACCUUGCCAGCAUUCUCUGUAGUCCCCUGGAGGCCCCAGUGACGUCAGAAUCCAGCACUCAGCUAGUCUCCGUGGGACCUGAACCACACCUGUGCAUUGUGUUUGCCCCAUGGAAACCAGGGCAGGAGACAAAGAGCUUCUUCUGGAGCAGGCCUCACGUGUGCAGGGGCCUGAGAAGGAGCUGAUUGUAAUCUGGUGUCUGAGGCCUGGCAGCCCCAAUGCUCCUCAAUGAAUCACACUCAAGUCUGAGCUCAUCUGAGAUGCUUGUGUGUGGGGUUGCUCCAGGAAGGCGGGGAAAUGAAAUCAACACGUAAUGUGUGAACUGGGAGGUUGCUGAGAAAUUGUCUAAACCAACCUCCUGGAACUUUCUACUGCUCAGGCUCAGGGUCCUUUCCCAGGCCUAGGCUGGCAACCAGCUCCCUUCCUUUCCCUCUCACAGGCCCCAGGGCCUCAUUCUGCUUCCUUCCCUCUUUAGCACUACCACUGCCCACUCCAUCCUUGAGCGCCCUCCUCACCAAGCCAGGCUGGAGAAGAGGAGGCAGGGUCCAAAACAGCAGGGCCUGGCACCUCCACACCAACCACACCCGCCAUAGAUAAACAACAAACAAGCCCUCCACUGGUUGCCUGCCCGGGACUCAGACCCAGUCUAGAUGCAACUAGGAAAAUGGGUGCAAAUGGCCUCAGCAAGAAAACCAUGCAGCUUGGGGACAAGAUCUCCACUCUACAAAUCAGAAACCCUGACUUCCAUCUGCCUUCUACCAGCGGCUUUCUCUAGGACAAGUCACUUACGCGUCUGCCCUUCAACAUCAGCGCCUGUAAAAUAUGAAUCAUACGGCCUUCCUCGCUUACAGCUCUAAUGGGAUGUAAACUAUUGGAUACUGCACCUGGAAGGGGUUGUUAUUAUCCAGAGCAGCACUUAUGAAAGGGUGUAAGGAGAAUGCAAAAAGUAGGGUUCCCUAACCAAAGAAGGUUAAGAAAUACUGAGUUAAACAGGUUUCUGACUGCACAACGUCUCCGUGCCUUUUUUUUUUUUUUAAAAG